AUAACAUUUAUCCUACUUCUUC
Molecule: microRNA, 22 nt
Filed under: Heligmosomoides polygyrus
Lineage: Eukaryota; Metazoa; Nematoda; Chromadorea; Rhabditida; Heligmosomidae
Description: hpo-miR-84a-3p
Gene: hpo-miR-84a-3p
Source: miRBase by way of RNAcentral